Molecule: ribosomal RNA, 400 nt
Filed under: uncultured bacterium
Lineage: Bacteria
Description: bacterial SSU rRNA
Rfam family: Bacterial small subunit ribosomal RNA
Source: RNAcentral
UGGGGAAUCUUGCGCAAUGGGCGAAAGCCUGACGCAGCGACGCCGCGUGGGUGAUGAAGGCCUUCGGGUUGUAAAGCCCUGUGGGGAGGAACGAAUAAGGCAGGGUGAAUAUCCCUGUUGAUGACGGUACCUCCUUAGCAAGCACCGGCUAACUCUGUGCCAGCAGCCGCGGUAAGACAGAGGGUGCAAACGUUGUUCGGAAUUACUGGGCGUAAAGCGCGUGUAGGCGGCUUGCCAAGUCGGGUGUGAAACCCCUGGGCUCAACCCGGGAAGUGCAUUCGAUACUGGCGAGCUGGAGUCCCGGAGAGGAUGGUGGAACUCUCGGUGUAGAGGUGAAAUUCGUAGAUAUCGGGAAGAACAUCGGUGGCGAAGGCGGCCAUCUGGACGGUGACUGACGCUG